CGCCGCUCACCCCGCGGCCGCAACUUCCCGCCUUCUCAGAGAACUCUUAAAACUAAACAGUAAGAAAACAGUCCAACUAAAAAGUGGAAAAGACCUGACCAGACAUGCACCAGCAAUGACACAGCGUUGACUGUUGGGCACAGGAGAAGAGGCUUGACACCACCAGCCACCAGGAAAUGCAGAUUCAGCCACCACGCAGGACACGAGGCACCUGCACCACAGCCGCAGUGCAAGAGAAUGCUGGUGGUGCCCCAAGCUGCCAGGGUGUGGACCUGCUGGAAAUGGAAGACGGCAUGGUGGUUUCCUAUAAAGUUCAAUGUACACAGCCACAUGACCCAGCAAUCCCACUGUUGGGUAUUUAGAGAAUGAAUAACUU
This 376-nucleotide long non-coding RNA is filed under the name Pan troglodytes (chimpanzee). Its description in RNAcentral is "long non-coding RNA NONPTRT012865". The record is from RNAcentral. Lineage: Eukaryota; Metazoa; Chordata; Mammalia; Primates; Hominidae.